UUCCGGUUGAUCCUGCCGGACCCCACUGCUAUCGGGAUAGGACUAAGACAUGCUAGUCGAGCGCUUCCUAGCCAAUAUGGAAGCGCGGCACACAGCUCAGUAACACGUGGCUAACCUGCCCUUGGGACAAGAACAAUCCCGGGAAACUGGGGCUAAUUCUUGAUAGGCGAAGAACUCUGGAAUGAGUCUUCACCCAAAAGAUACUUGCAUUAUGCUUGUAGGUGUCGCCCAAGGAUGGGGCCGCGGCCGAUCAGGUUGUUGGUGAGGUAAUGGCUCACCAAGCCUUUUACCGGUGCGGGCCGUGGGAGCGGGAGCCCGGAGAUGGGCACUGAGACAAGGACCCAGGCCCUACGGGGCGCAGCAGUCGCGAAAACUCCGCAAUGCACGAAAGUGUGACGGGGCUACCCCGAGUGCCAUCCGCUGAGGGUGGCUUUUCUUUGGUAUAACUAGCCAUUGGAAUAAGGAGAGGGCAAGACUGGUGUCAGCCGCCGCGGUAAUACCAGCUCUCCGAGUGGUAGGGAUGAUUAUUGGGCUUAAAGCGUCCGUAGCCGGCUUAGCGAGUCUCCUGUUAAAUUCAGCGACCUAAUCGUUGAUCCGCGGGAGAUACUACUAGGCUAGGAGGCGGGAGAGGUCGACGGUACUUCUGGGGUAGGGGUGAAAUCCUAUAAUCCCAGGAGGACCACCAGUGGCGAAAGCUGUUGACUAGAACGCGCUCGACGGUGAGGGACGAAAGCUGGGGGAGCGAACCGGAUUAGAUACCCGGGUAGUCCCAGCUGUAAACGAUGCGGGCUAGGUGUUGGGGCAGCCACGAGCUGCUCCAGUGCCGCAGAGAAGUUGUUAAGCCCGCCGCCUGGGGAGUACGGCCGCAGCUGAAACUUAAAGGAAUUGCGGGGAGCACACA
This 901-nucleotide ribosomal RNA is filed under the name uncultured archaeon. Its description in RNAcentral is "bacterial SSU rRNA". It matches the Rfam family "Archaeal small subunit ribosomal RNA", at positions 1 to 880 of the family's 1478-position model. The record is from RNAcentral.